UCAGAUUGAACGCUGGCGGCAGGCUUAACACAUGCAAGUCGAGCGGGGAUAGGGUGCUUGCACCUGAUUCCUAGCGGCGGACGGGUGAGUAAUGCUUAGGAAUCUGCCUAUUAGUGGGGGACAACGUUCCGAAAGGGACGCUAAUACCGCAUACGUCCUACGGGAGAAAGCAGGGGAUCUUCGGACCUUGCGCUAAUAGAUGAGCCUAAGUCGGAUUAGCUAGUUGGUGGGGUAAAGGCCUACCAAGGCGACGAUCUGUAGCGGGUCUGAGAGGAUGAUCCGCCACACUGGGACUGAGACACGGCCCAGACUCCUACGGGAGGCAGCAGUGGGGAAUAUUGGACAAUGGGGGCAACCCUGAUCCAGCCAUGCCGCGUGUGUGAAGAAGGCCUUUUGGUUGUAAAGCACUUUAAGCGAGGAGGAGGCUUACCUGGUUAAUACCCGGGAUAAGUGGACGUUACUCGCAGAAUAAGCACCGGCUAACUCUGUGCCAGCCGCCGC
This 501-nucleotide ribosomal RNA is filed under the name uncultured bacterium. RNAcentral's name for it is "bacterial SSU rRNA". It matches the Rfam family "Bacterial small subunit ribosomal RNA", at positions 24 to 518 of the family's 1533-position model. The record is from RNAcentral.